This 390-nucleotide unclassified non-coding RNA is filed under the name uncultured fungus. RNAcentral's name for it is "sequence contains ITS1". The stretch from base 1 to 105 matches the Rfam family "5.8S ribosomal RNA", at positions 50 to 154 of the family's 154-position model. The record is from RNAcentral. Lineage: Eukaryota; Fungi.
GAAAUGCGAUAAGUUAUGUGAAUGGCAGAAUUCAGUGAAUCAUCGAAGCUUUGAACGCACCUUGCGCUCCUUUGUAUUCCGAGGAGCGUGCCUGUUUGAGUGUCUUGUAACGCUCAAACCCAAGUUUUGGAUUUCGAUCCAUGCUUGAGUUUGGAUGUGGAUGUUUGCCGGUGAUGAACCGACUCAUCUUAAAAGUAUUAGCUUGGAUCUGUCUAUAUGACUGGUUUGACUUGGCAUAAUAAGUAUUUUGCUGAGGACAUCUUCGGAUGGCCAGGACCUAGACUACUGUCUGCUAACUAAACCAUCACUUUGAGUGCAUUUUUGGAUGUUACUCAUCGUGUAACUUUGACAUCUGGCCUCAAAUCAAGUAGGACUACCCGCUCAACUUAA